Molecule: ribosomal RNA, 226 nt
Filed under: uncultured bacterium
Lineage: Bacteria
Description: partial 16S ribosomal RNA
Rfam family: Bacterial small subunit ribosomal RNA
Source: RNAcentral
GCGUUAUCCGGAUUUAUUGGGUUUAAAGGGUGCGUAGGCGGCUUAUUAAGUCAGUGGUGAAAUCCUGGAGCUUAACUCCAGAACUGCCAUUGAUACUGAUGAGCUUGAGUACAGUUGAGGUAGGCGGAAUGUGUCAUGUAGCGGUGAAAUGCUUAGAUAUGACACAGAACACCGAUUGCGAAGGCAGCUUGCUAAACUGUAACUGACGCUGAGGCACGAAAGCGUG